This 253-nucleotide ribosomal RNA is filed under the name uncultured bacterium. RNAcentral describes it as "partial 16S ribosomal RNA". It matches the Rfam family "Bacterial small subunit ribosomal RNA", at positions 524 to 776 of the family's 1533-position model. The record is from RNAcentral.
UACGUAGGCAGCAAGCGUUGUUCGGAGUUACUGGGCGUAAAGGGUGUGUAGGCGGUUCUUUAAGUUUGGUGUGAAAUCUCCCGGCUCAACUGGGAGGGUGCGCCGAAUACUGAGGGACUAGAGUACGGGAGAGGAAAGUGGAAUUCCUGGUGUAGCGGUGAAAUGCGUAGAUAUCAAGAGGAACACCUGAGGUGAAGACGGGUUGCUGGGCCAACACUGACGCUGAGGCGCGAAAGCCAGGGGAGCAAACGGG